GAGGACUGGCUGGAGUCAGAAACACCACAGGAUUGAUUUUUAUCAUCUUCUCUCUGGUUUAUGUUGCAAAUUCACUGACCAACAAGGAUCUUCCGAAACUCAAAGAAGAACUUUGGAAAGCAGAAAUAGCACUAGCCAAAAACAAGGCAGAACACGAGAACAAAAAAGCCCGCUUAAGAGAAAUUGAAGACAAUGUGAAGGUGCGUUAUUUUCCUGUUAUGGAACAAGUGAAGACACUUUUG
Archocentrus centrarchus (flier cichlid) is the source of this 242-nucleotide long non-coding RNA. RefSeq lists it as uncharacterized. NCBI's taxonomy places the organism in Eukaryota, Metazoa, Chordata, Actinopteri, Cichliformes, Cichlidae. The transcript is spliced from 3 exons. The record is from RefSeq and is a predicted model, not a curated record.